Molecule: ribosomal RNA, 552 nt
Filed under: uncultured archaeon
Lineage: Archaea
Description: bacterial SSU rRNA
Rfam family: Archaeal small subunit ribosomal RNA
Source: RNAcentral
GACAAGGUUCCAGACCCUACGGGGUGCAGCAGGCGCGAAACCUCCGCAAUGUACGUAAGUGCGACGGGGGGAUCCCAAGUGUUAUGCUUAAUAGUAUAACUUUUCAUUAGUGUAAAAAGCUUUUAGAAUAAGAGCUGGGCAAGACCGGUGCCAGCCGCCGCGGUAAUACCGGCAGCUCGAGUGGUAGCUGUUUUUAUUGGGCCUAAAGCGUUCGUAGCCGGUUUGAUAAGUCUUUGGUGAAAGCUUGUAGCUUAACUAUAAGAAUUGCUGGAGAUACUAUCAGACUUGAAGUCGGGAGAGGUUAGAGGUACUACCGGGGUAGGGGUGAAAUCCUAUAAUCCUGGGAGGACCACCUGUGGCGAAGGCGUCUAACUAGAACGAUCUUGACGGUGAGUAACGAAAGCCAGGGGCGCGAACCGGAUUAGAUACCCGGGUAGUCCUAGCCGUAAACGAUGUGGACUUGGUGUUGGAAUGGCUUUGAGUUGUUCCAGUGCCGAAGGGAAGCUGUUAAGUCCACCGCCUGGGAAGUACGGUCGCAAGACUGAAACUUAA